UAGCUCAGGCAGUUGAGCGUGGUGCUGAUAACACUAAGGUCGUGGGUUCGAUCCCCGU
RNAcentral lists this transfer RNA (58 nucleotides) under Apaloderma vittatum (bar-tailed trogon). It matches the Rfam family "tRNA", at positions 8 to 63 of the family's 71-position model. Rfam says of the family: Transfer RNA (tRNA) molecules are approximately 80 nucleotides in length. Their secondary structure includes four short double-helical elements and three loops (D, anti-codon, and T loops). The record is from Rfam by way of RNAcentral. Lineage: Eukaryota; Metazoa; Chordata; Aves; Trogoniformes; Trogonidae.